GAGCGGACGGAUGGGAGCUUGCUCCCUGAAGUCAGCGGCGGACGGGUGAGUAACACGUGGGCAACCUGCCUGUAAGACUGGGAUAACUCCGGGAAACCGGGGCUAAUACCGGAUAACUCUUUUCCUCACAUGAGGAAAAGCUGAAAGAUGGUUUCGGCUAUCACUUACAGAUGGGCCCGCGGCGCAUUAGCUAGUUGGUGAGGUAACGGCUCACCAAGGCCACGAUGCGUAGCCGACCUGAGAGGGUGAUCGGCCACACUGGGACUGAGACACGGCCCAGACUCCUACGGGAGGCAGCAGUAGGGAAUCUUCCGCAAUGGACGAAAGUCUGACGGAGCAACGCCGCGUGAGUGAUGAAGGUUUUCGGAUCGUAAAACUCUGUUGUCAGGGAAGAACAAGUACCGGAGUAACUGCCGGUACCUUGACGGUACCUGACCAGAAAGCCACGGCUAACUACGUGCCAGCAGCCGCGGUAAUACGUAGGUGGCAAGCGUUGUCCGGAAUUAUUGGGCGUAAAGCGCGCGCAGGCGGUUCCUUAAGUCUGAUGUGAAAGCCCCCGGCUCAACCGGGGAGGGUCAUUGGAAACUGGGGAACUUGAGUGCAGAAGAGAAGAGUGGAAUUCCACGUGUAGCGGUGAAAUGCGUAGAGAUGUGGAGGAACACCAGUGGCGAAGGCGACUCUUUGGUCUGUAACUGACGCUGAGGCGCGAAAGCGUGGG
RNAcentral lists this ribosomal RNA (718 nucleotides) under Cytobacillus firmus. RNAcentral's name for it is "bacterial SSU rRNA". It matches the Rfam family "Bacterial small subunit ribosomal RNA", at positions 64 to 765 of the family's 1533-position model. The record is from RNAcentral. Lineage: Bacteria; Bacillati; Bacillota; Bacilli; Caryophanales; Bacillaceae.